RNA transcript from Prosopis cineraria, 2803 nucleotides. It is a transcript of the gene named nucleolin 2, with no coding region annotated. The transcript is spliced from 24 exons. Lineage: Eukaryota; Viridiplantae; Streptophyta; Magnoliopsida; Fabales; Fabaceae. The record is from RefSeq and is a predicted model, not a curated record.
AACCCCAAACAAAGCAGCCGCUGAUGCGUGACUAUAAAAACGGACCAGCUGAGCGCCUUCGUUCAACCGCUUGCUUCCCAAAACCCUAAAACUCAACGAGCGUUGGGUUUUUCUUUUCAAGCUUCUCUGCACCGUCUUUGUUUCUGAAACUCCGUUGGUUUCUUCUUUUGCGUUACUAAGAUGGGCAAAUCCAGCAAGAAAUCAGCUCCCAAGGUUGACCCUGCUCCGGCUGUUGUUCCGCCUUUGAAGUCUGCAAAGAAAGGCAAGAGGGAAGCUGAGGAUGAACUUGAGAAGCACGUGAGUGCAAAGAAGCAGAAGAGAGAUGAAGUUGCUGAGAAGAAGAAUGCCAAGGUGCAGAAAAACAAGAAGGAAAGUAGUUCAGAUGAUUCCUCUUCAUCAGAUUCUGAGGAAGACAAGAAAACAGCCCCAAAAGCUGUUCUUCCAUCGAAGACACAACUUUCUAAGAAUGGUGCUCUAAGUGGCCGGGUGAACAAAGGCAAGCCAGCUAGUAGUUCCAGUUCUUCUGAAUCCUCUGACGAUGAGUCCGACAGUGAUGAUGCUGGAAAAACCAAGGUAGCCUCUGCUGCUGGCAAGAAUGGAGCUCUGACAAAGAAGAAAGUUGAGUCUAGUGACAGCUCUGAUACUGAUAGCAGCUCAGAUGAAGAAAAUGAUGUGAGAACUAAAGUUGCCCCGCUAUCCAAAAAGGUACCUGUUUCUGCCACUAAGAAAGUUGAAUCAGACUCGGAAUCUGACAGCAGCUCUGAUGAGGAUGAUGUCCCUACUAAAUCAUCCAAGAAGUUGUUGGCUGCUCCUGCUGCAGGUAAAAGUAUGCCUGCCAAAAAAAUUGGGUCAAGUGAUGACACAGCCUCAGAUAGUAGCUCAGAUGAUGAUGAUCUAACGACAAGGGUACCUGCUGCAUCAAAGAAGUUGCCUGCUACAGCAGUUCCUUCAAAGAAAAAAGUUGAGAGCAGUGAAAGCACCGAUGAUGAAUCAAGUGAGAGCUCUGAUGAAGAUAAUGGUAUGAAGUCUUCUGUCAAAGCAGUUCCCAAGCCUUCCAAUACUCGAAAGAAGGCUGAAUCAAGUGAGAGCUCAGAUUCUGAUAGCAGUAGCUCUGAGGAAGACACCAAAAAUAAAAAAGGAUCCAACAUUGCUUCCAAUAAGAAGCCAGAAAGGGCUUCUGAGAAGAUUUCCAAGUUAAAGGAAAGUUCUGAUGAGACUGAUUCUGAUGACGAGGAGGAGUCCUCUGACAGUGAUUCUGAGGAUGAGAAGAAAACUGUUCCUAAGGCUAGUGCUAAAGCAGCUGCUGCAGUGAAGACAGCUAAAGGGGAACCUAGUGAAAGUUCAUCUGAAGAUGACUCUUCAGAAGAUGAGAAAACUGCGCCCCAGGCUCAUAUCAAAGCAUCUGCUGGUGUGAAGACAGUUAAAAAGGAGUCUAGUGAUAGCUCAUCUGAAGAUGACUCUUCUGAAGAUGAGGAUAAGAUGGAUGUUGAUGAAGAAAGCGAGGAGGAGCCACCAAAGAAAAAGUCUCAAAAAGUUUCAAAGGAAAGCAAUGAAAAUUCAGAGAGCUCAGAUGAUAGCGAAGAUGAUGAUGAUGAGACACCUUCCAAGACUCGGAAAUAUGCUAAGGAUUUGGAGAUGGUUGAUGCUGCAUCGGCAAAGUCAAAUGGAAAGAAAACUCCUAGCACCCCUGCUACUCCAAAAGUACAGAAUGUGGCAUCAAAGUCACUAUUUGUUGGAAAUUUGUCAUUUAAAGUAUCACGGGCUGAUGUGGAAGACUUCUUUAAAGAUUGUGGAGAAGUGGUUGAUGUCCGUUUGGCCUCAGAUGAAAAUGGGAGAUUUAAAGGUUUUGGGCAUGUCGAAUUUGCCACAGAAGAAGCCGCACAAAAUGCCCUUGAGUUGAAUGGGGAAGAAUUGCUUCAGCGUCCUGUCAGACUUGAUUUGGCUCGUGAAAGGGGAGCCUAUACCCCUUCUAGCGGCAACUUUAGCAAUGCAUUCCAGAAAGGAGGACAAGCUCAAGUGCAUACAAUAUUUAUCAAGGGUUUUGAUGCAUCCCAAGGGGAAGAUGUGAUUAAAACAAACCUCAAAGAGCAUUUCAGUUGUGGAGAGAUUACAAGGAUAUCAAUUCCUAAAGAUUAUGAUAGUGGAGCUGUCAAGGGGUAUGCCUACAUUGAUUUCAAGGAUGUUGAUGCCUUCAACAAAGCGCUAGAAUUGAAUGGUAGUGAGCUUGGAGGUGGUUAUUAUUUGACAGUUGAUGAGGCAAAACCUCGAGUUGAUAAUCAAGGUGCAAGUGGUGGUAGAGGUGGUGGAAGGAGUGGUGGUAGAGGCGGAAGAGGUGGCGGCGGGCAAUUUGGUGGAAGAGGUGGUGGCGGUCAAUUUGGUGGAAGAGGUGGCAGAGGUGGUCGCGGAAGAGGUGGUGGUGGCAGGGGGCGUGGUACGCCCAAUAGACCAAGUCUUGCUGCUGCAGGCACAGGGACAAAGACCACAUUCGAGGACGAUGAUUAAAGGAACGGUUACUGAGAAUUUUCUGUUCUAUAUUUAUUACGUUCCUUGCUCCAGUUUUGUGGAUGUCAGGUGCUGUUAAGUCGAGAGGAACGAGGAAUCUCAUCAAAUAUUGUUUACCUGUCGAGUAGGAAUCGCAUCAAAUGUGGCAACGCCACCCAACCCAGCACCAUAUAUCAAACAAUCGUCACCAUUGAAAGGAGCAGCAGAUGUAUGCGGCCAGGCUUUAUUAUUAUUGUCAGCAUAGAAAAGAAGGGAUGAAUAAAAAAUUGUUGAGGUUCUCGCUGGGGCAGCGUUUCCACUA